RNAcentral lists this unclassified non-coding RNA (221 nucleotides) under plant metagenome. Its description in RNAcentral is "partial contains small subunit ribosomal RNA, internal transcribed spacer 1, and 5.8S ribosomal RNA". The record is from RNAcentral.
UUUCCGUAGGUGAACCUGCGGAAGGAUCAUUACAGAGUUCAUGCCCUCACGGGUAGAUCUCCCACCCUUGAAUAUUUAUACCUUAGUUGCUUUGGCAGGCCGUGGAAACACCAUGGGCUCCGGCUUAUGCGUGCCUGCCAGAGGAAACAAACUCUUUUUAUUAAUGUCGUCUGAGUACUAUAUAAUAGUUAAAACUUUCAACAACGGAUCUCUUGGUUCUG